AUACUUCCUGGAAGGGGAGAUUACCCAUGAUCAAUGAAGGUGGUUCCACCAGGCUAUUGCUUACCUUUUUGUAUUGCACUACGGUAUAUGCUGACCCCUGCGAAUUCCAAAUGGGGGAAUCUCGGACUGCAUAAUUUGUGGUAGUGGGGACUGCGUGCGCGCUCUCCCCGA
Molecule: small nuclear RNA, 171 nt
Organism: Etheostoma spectabile (orangethroat darter)
Lineage: Eukaryota; Metazoa; Chordata; Actinopteri; Perciformes; Percidae
Product: U1 spliceosomal RNA
Exons: 1
Source: RefSeq, a predicted model, not a curated record